GGCUGGCUGGGCGGAGCACUCAGACCAUGGCGACCCGAGCGAAACGCCGGCGGCUCCCGAAAGCCCUUGGUCCGCCCGCCCUCAGCCAGCUCUCCGGGGCGGAGCCUCGUCAUGGAGCUCACUUAUCACAGGUGGCGGGAGCAGCGGGCGUCGGAGGUGCGGAGCCGGGGCCCGAGCCCGAGCCCGAGCCCGAACCCGAGCCGGUGGCCGGCUUCCUGAGCUGGUGCGGGCGGGUGGGGCUGGAGCUGAGUCCUAAGGUGGCGGUGACCCGGCAGGGCACGGUGGCCGGCUACGGCAUGGUGGCCCGGGAGAGCUUGCAGCCCGGGGAGCUGCUGUUCGCGGUACCGAGGGCCGCGCUCCUGUCGCAGCACACUUGCUCAAUCCGAGGCCUGCUGGAGCGAGAGCGAAGUGCGCUGCAGAGCCAGUCGGGCUGGGUGCCACUGCUGCUGGCGCUGCUCCACGAGCUGCAGGCCUCGGCCUCUCCCUGGGGCCCCUACUUUGCGCUCUGGCCAGAGCUGGGCCGCUUGGAGCAUCCUAUGUUCUGGCCAGAGGAGGAGCGUCGGCGCCUGCUGCAGGGCACAGGUGUACCUGAGGCGGUGGAGAAGGACUUGGCUAACAUCUGCACCGAGUACCACAACAUCGUGCUGCCCUUCAUGGAAGCCCACCCUGAUCUCUUCAGCUCCAGGGUUCGCUCCCUGGAACUCUACCAGCAGCUUGUGGCCCUUGUGAUGGCCUACAGCUUUCAGGAACCACUGGAAGAAGAGGAGGAUGAAAAGGAGCCAAACUCCCCUUUGAUGGUGCCAGCUGCAGACAUACUAAACCACUUGGCCAAUCACAAUGCCAAUCUAGAAUACUCUACAAAUUAUCUUCGGAUGGUGGCCACUCAGCCCAUUCCUAAAGGCCAUGAGAUUUUCAACACUUACGGACAAAUGGCUAACUGGCAAUUGAUUCAUAUGUAUGGUUUUGUUGAGCCAUAUCCUGACAACACAGAUGACACAGCUGACAUUCAGAUGGUGACAGUUCGAGAAGCAGCAUUACAGAGAACAAAAGGUGAAGCUGAAAGGCAGGUAUUGCAUGAGCGCUGGGAUUUCUUAUGCAAACUGGAGAUGGUAGGGGAAGAGGGAGCCUUUGUGAUUGGGCAGAAGGAGGUGCUGACAAAAGAGGAACUGACCGCCACCCUAAAGGUACUGUGUAUGUCUGCUGAAGAGUUCAGAGAGUUUAAAGAUCAGGAUGAAUGGGGAGAUGAUCAAAGGGAAGAGGACAGCCUGACAAUCACAAACAUCCCCAAGCUCAAAGCAUCCUGGAGACAGCUUCUUCGAGACAGUGUUCUGUUGACCCUACAAACCUAUGCCACAGACUUAAAAACUGAUCAAGAUUUACUCAGUAAUAAGGAGGUCUAUGCCAGACUCAGCUGGAGGGAGCAGCAGGCUUUACAGGUUCGCUAUGGUCAGAAGAUGAUCUUACAUCAGUUGUUGGGAUUGACAAGUUAGGAGCUCCUUGUUGCCUGAAGGAACAGCAGUAACAACUUCAUUCUAAACCAAUAUUCACUGAUGCUUGGAAAGAGCUACUUUAUCAGCAGCCUGAAGUUCCGUGUAGAUGACGCAGCUCUCCCUUCAGGGAAUAAAUGUUAAGACACCACAAGGACUUUCAAGUCCCCGCUCAUAAGUAAGAUUUCAACUAUUUAAUUUUGAACCAGUUUGUCUUCUGUGGCCAUAAAACUUUGAUCAUCAAGGUAUAAAUUAUAUGUGGGAUGAUUUAAAUAUAUAUCUACUAUAUAUCUACUCAUUUUCUUUUAAAAGUAUAAAAACAAAAACACCCAAGGGAAAAGAAUAGUAAACAUGGACAUUUUUGUAAUUCAGUCUUAACCACCCAAAAAAAAAAAAAAAUCCAUCAGUCUUUCACUGUUGAAAAGAAAAACACUGUACAAAAUGAUGUGGUGGUUUUAAACAUGCAAGCUUAGUGGUGGAAAAGGUCUGUCAUUUGUCAGGAAACUGGUAUGUCCUGUGGCCCUAGUCUUUACAAAGCUGAACUGUCCACUUUUCCUCUCACCUCCAGCACUAGGCUCCUGCUAUUGAGAAAGGCACAGUGGAUUCACACGUGUCACGACUUCAGUGUUUAACUACGGCAUGUAUACACGUUCAAGUGGGGGAACUGAAAGCCCAGGUAUUAAAAGGUUACAAAAUAAAACACAGAGACCAAUAUACUUACAAAACAUUCAGUAUCUUUACAAAAAGGGCUGUAUUGGUCCUUUUGACUUUGCUGUUCAGCUUACCAUGUGUGGUCUUUCAGUAGGGUAAUGAGAUAGGACAGUUGAAAAGAUUUGAGUUGAAGACUUUUCCCCACAAUUCAUAAGUAUUGGAAGAGGGUUAGGGAGAGCUUUAGGCCUAAUCUCAUAGGGCCAAAGUGUCUUGUUUUCCAACAGGAAGGAGAAGCUGGUACAACUGUUGAUCUCUGGACAGUCAGCUUUAGAAAUGACUCUGAGGUGAGGCAAAACAAAAACCCAUGGGUUCUUAGUCAGUCAAGAACCCUUCUUUUGUUCCCUGACAUGUUCAAUUCUAAGACAUGCAUAAUAACUUAAGAGAUUUUCAGGCUCCCUGUGCUUUUUUAAAAAUAAGUUACAUAAUACUUAAACUGGCCGUUGCUAUUCUUUGGGAAACCAGGAAUGUCAGAAGUGGAGCUAUGUCCUCAGACAAAUGCAUGAAAUCAGCUGCCUCUUUAUUACAAGGUACUAGUUUAUGUACUUGCCUUGGACACAUUUUGCACAAACCCAAGAAGUUCCAGACAAAGGUUUUCUUUUUCAUAUAUUUACACAAGUUCAAAAUGAUAUUCACAGCAUCUUCUAAAUUUUGGCCAAGAGUCAAAAAAAUGCAUUUAAACUUUGGAACGUGCCCAUAUAGACAGGAGGCUGACCCCAAUAGUAUUUGGGCCAGAAACCCAAGAGCCAGGGCUGGGAGUCAGGAAGAGCUGAAAGAAUUCUUCAGUCAGUUUACAAACUUGGUGCAAUGGGAUCUCCAGGCUGACACA
Molecule: RNA transcript, 3024 nt
Organism: Tupaia belangeri chinensis (Chinese tree shrew)
Lineage: Eukaryota; Metazoa; Chordata; Mammalia; Scandentia; Tupaiidae
Gene: SETD6
Gene name: SET domain containing 6, protein lysine methyltransferase
Exons: 10
Source: RefSeq, a predicted model, not a curated record